Molecule: transfer RNA, 608 nt
Filed under: uncultured Prochlorococcus sp.
Lineage: Bacteria; Bacillati; Cyanobacteriota; Cyanophyceae; Synechococcales; Prochlorococcaceae
Description: partial contains 16S ribosomal RNA, 16S-23S ribosomal RNA intergenic spacer, and 23S ribosomal RNA
Rfam family: tRNA (bases 227-299)
Source: RNAcentral
UGGAUCACCUCCUAACAGGGAGACAACAAAAUGUUUAAUAUUAUUAUUUUGUCACCUUAGGUCGAUCGGUAUCUCACAUUUUUAAUUUAUUAAGAAUUUCAUUUCCUAAGUUUUUCUAGGUCACACCCAUUAUUUUUCCUGGGCCAUUAGCUCAGGUGGUUAGAGCGCACCCCUGAUAAGGGUGAGGUCCCUGGUUCAAGUCCAGGAUGGCCCAUAUCUCUAUGUUGGGGGUAUAGCUCAGUUGGUAGAGCGCCUGCUUUGCAAGCAGGAUGUCAGCGGUUCGAGUCCGCUUACCUCCACUGAUUACCACCUCUUCCAUAACUGGUAGAAAGGAAAUGUUUUGAGUUGUGAUCAAAUUCUGAAAGAAUCUAGCUUCCUAAUGAAAUCAUUAAGAUGCUGGACUCAUUGAAUUAAUUUCAUUGUUUUCAGAGAACCUUGACAACUGCAUAGAUUAUUUUUUAAAGACAAUAAGCAUCUUUUAUGAUGCAGAUUUAUUAUUUGUGCAAAUGCAUUAAUAACAAUUCUAUUAAGCUGAUGCUUCAAUUUUGAAGUUAUUGGUCAAGCUACAAAGGGCUCACGGAGGAUACCUAGGCACACAGAGGCGAUGA